UAGGCCGGCCUCUUCACUGAGGCCCCCUGGAAACAGGGAGCAGCCCGCCGGCGGCCAACUAAACUCUUGUUUCUAUAGUGAAUCUCUGAGUAAAAACAUAAAUGAAUCAAAACUUUCAACAACGGAUCUCUUGGUUCUGGCAUCGAUGAAGAACGCAGCGAAAUGCGAUAAGUAAUGUGAAUUGCAGAAUUCAGUGAAUCAUCGAAUCUUUGAACGCACAUUGCGCCCUCUGGUAUUCCGGAGGGCAUGCCUGUUCGAGCGUCAUUUCAACCCUCAAGCCUGGCUUGGUGAUGGGGCACUGCCUUCUAGCGAGGGCAGGCCCUGAAAUCUAGUGGCGAGCUCGCUAGGACCCCGAGCGUAGUAGUUAUAUCUCGU
Molecule: ribosomal RNA, 375 nt
Filed under: Diaporthe sp.
Lineage: Eukaryota; Fungi; Ascomycota; Sordariomycetes; Diaporthales; Diaporthaceae
Description: partial 5.8S ribosomal RNA
Rfam family: 5.8S ribosomal RNA (bases 111-264)
Source: RNAcentral